CUUUAGGAUGGAAUGUUCUGACUAGCUGUUAAAUCUGUCUAGUCUAGGGUGUCAUUCAAAGCCAUUGUUUCUUUGUCGAUUUUCUUUAGAUGAUCUGCUUAUUGAGGAAACCAGUGAACAAAUUACCAUGCCUUCUUACUCCUGUGAACCUUUAGAAGAUUUGAAACUCCUCUUCAAACGACUAUGAAGUGUCUCCCCGCCUGGUCUCCCUGGGGAGACUCUUCCAAUUGCCCUUACUUCAAGUUGACCGAUGAUCCUUUCUACUUGAGAUUUGCAUGGGUUUGUCUACCUUGGAUUCGGCUGCCUCUGCCUUUGGUCUUACCAUUUCAGUGUGGUGCCUUGCCUCCAUUGGGAGUUCAGUUGAGUUAUUUGCUCUCUUCAGCCUCCCCUACUUCCAGCAGAGGUCUCAAGUCUCUACAGAACAGCAGCAGUCAUGAGAGUACAUGCAAUGGCUGUUAUUGAUGAAGCACCAACUCCAUCAAGCAUUGUUCUAAGCGAUUAACAAGGAAUAUGUCAUUUCUUCCUCUCCACUCUGUGGGAGUACAACACUGAUUCAGCAGUUCUAUACUCCAUGCUCACCAUGUAAACUCCAGGCCUGGCAUGGA
Molecule: long non-coding RNA, 605 nt
Organism: Neogale vison (American mink)
Lineage: Eukaryota; Metazoa; Chordata; Mammalia; Carnivora; Mustelidae
Exons: 6
Source: RefSeq, a predicted model, not a curated record